RNAcentral lists this transfer RNA (74 nucleotides) under Microbacterium phage A3Wally. RNAcentral describes it as "tRNA-Ser". It matches the Rfam family "tRNA". Rfam says of the family: Transfer RNA (tRNA) molecules are approximately 80 nucleotides in length. Their secondary structure includes four short double-helical elements and three loops (D, anti-codon, and T loops). Further hydrogen bonds mediate the characteristic L-shaped molecular structure. tRNAs have two regions of fundamental functional importance: the anti-codon, which is responsible for specific mRNA codon recognition, and the 3' end, to which the tRNAs corresponding amino acid is attached (by aminoacyl-tRNA synthetases). tRNAs cope with the degeneracy of the genetic code in two manners: having more than one tRNA (with a specific anti-codon) for a particular amino acid; and 'wobble' base-pairing, i.e. permitting non-standard base-pairing at the 3rd anti-codon position. The record is from RNAcentral. RNAcentral also lists the same sequence under 1 other name. Lineage: Duplodnaviria; Heunggongvirae; Uroviricota; Caudoviricetes.
GUGAGCGUGGUGUAGCGGUAACAUCACAGUCUUCCAAACUGUUGUCGCGGGUUCGAUCCCCGUCGCUCACUCCA